This 369-nucleotide ribosomal RNA is filed under the name Podarcis tauricus tauricus. RNAcentral describes it as "partial 16S ribosomal RNA". It matches the Rfam family "Archaeal large subunit ribosomal RNA", at positions 2029 to 2588 of the family's 2987-position model. Lineage: Eukaryota; Metazoa; Chordata; Lepidosauria; Squamata; Lacertidae. The record is from RNAcentral.
AAAGGUAGCAUAAUCACUUGUCCCCUAAAUAGGGACUGGAAUGAACGGCUAAAUGAGGACAAAGCUGUCUCUUACGGCCUAGCCAAUGAAAUUGAUCCUCCAGUACAAAAGCUGGAAUAAACUCAUAAGACGAGAAGACCCUGUGGAGCUUUAAAACCAAGAUCAUUAAACUAUGCUCCUUGGAUUUUUAGUUGGGGCGACUUUGGAGCAAAAAAAACCCUCCAAAACAUAAAUUUAAUUAUUUAGACCAACACACCAAGAAAAUUAUAUUAGACCCAGCAGUAUUUUUUACUGUCUGACCAAUGAACCAAGUUACCCCAGGGAUAACAGCGCUAUCCUCUUCUAGAGUCCCUAUCGACAAGAGGGUUU